GACACAAUUAAUCCGAUGGAGCUGAGGGAUAGGGCCAGGCAUGUACACAGUAUCCAGCCACUGGAGCAGUCAAAAUGGGUGUGACCCAACAGGAGGCUGGAAAACCGCCUGACACACUUGGCAAGUGGUGUAAUGCUCCAUUCUCAGAAGGAAAUUCUUUAUUGAACCCCUCUAGCAAUGAACUUUUGGCCUGAAGCUGGAGUUUGGAUUGCACAAGCUCAAUAAAUGUGUAAUUAUAAAUACCAGAGACACACCAAGCACCCCCCAUACAAGUAGGACCUGUUUCAGAAGUCGGGAAGGAGCAAACGUGUAGGCAGUGAACCCGCUGCAGGAGCCGGCUGCUCUGAAAGGGAGCAGCCCCUGCUCGGGGUGUGGGCCCUGCAGGAGAUGGCUCCUGCCCAAGAAAGUGUCAUCGGUCAUCCUGGGCAUCGUGGCAGCCAAUCAAGCCAGCAAAGCCAUCAAACUUUCAGCCUCCUCCUCAGCUCCCUGGACACGUCUACUGCCAGGAGAUGUCUCAGCCAAGGAUUUUGAGCCAAGAUAUGGGGGAAAUGGUUUAACCAGAUGUGUGCCCAUGCCUGCGACACUGAACUUUGAGAUGCUGUUAUAUAAAAAGCUUGCCACCUCCCCUGCCUCUCAGCAGCAAGGGAGGACUGAAGACACUGAGCAUGGAAUUCAGCCUGUCUUCUAGCUCCCCAUGUGCAACAAAAUCAUUUACGGACUGAUCUUCUGCUACUUCUCUCAAGCACUGGAAUUUCCAGGUGCAUGUGUUUUCAGGGCACAAGCAACUCCAGGAAAGCUGCUUCUCAAAAGGCAUUUGUGUCACAUAUAGUAUUGAAGUAUUUCACUUCCCCUCCAUGUGACCAGCUACAUGCAUUGGGAGAAAGUAAAUCCAGGUAGGUGGGAUAUGGAAAACCCCUUGUUGUGUCUCGAGGAUCAGCACUGGUCACAGCUUACAGAGAGUCAGGUCGGUGGUAUCGCGAGGAUCCAUCCAGCCCUGCAUUUUUAGGCGGCUUUGAAAAAUGCCCAGACAGAAGUACUUGCGAUUCACAGGGUGGGAUGCCUGGAAGAAUCAACAGAGUGAGUAUUAAGUUGGUGACUAAGCAGAAAAUGAAAAGAAAUCCCAAGAGCGGAGUAUUCCAAAACUCAGAAGAAACAGCAAGUGAAACCAUUUCUUCCUGUGCCUCAAACCCAGUGCAAGGAAGAGAGCUACAUUUGUUCCAGUGAGAUUGUAGUUAAAAGUUCUCAAGGUUUAACUCGUCUUUUUAAUUGCCACUGUCUCAAUUAAAUUGCAUCUGUGAUAACAACAGCCCUCCUGGAGACCCAACAGGAACUUGAACACAUUG
This is a long non-coding RNA of Columba livia (rock pigeon), 1343 nucleotides long. RefSeq lists it as uncharacterized. The record is from RefSeq and is a predicted model, not a curated record. NCBI's taxonomy places the organism in Eukaryota, Metazoa, Chordata, Aves, Columbiformes, Columbidae. The transcript has 7 exons.